CCCGCCGGGUUUGAGGCCGAGCGGCUCUGGCCGGCAGAUGGCUCCUGUCCUUCUGAGGCCGCAAAGGACUGGGUGGAAGGCGUGGAGAGUGUCAGAGCAUCCCAGGACAUCACCCCUUGGUUUACAGACCCAGAGAAGCUGCCUCAGGCUUGUGGCCAGGCUGAGGAGAGCAGGUCAUGGCCACCUGUGUCUGCACCAACAUCCUGCCUUCCAGAGUCACUGGCAUGUGAGACAACAGAUAUCCACAGAAACCCUCGGAGCAUUUUGAGUAUUUUCCAGCAACGUCGGAACAUGGUGUGAAUCACUGUGCCUGCCUAUAGAUUUUGAUGGAGCUGCCCAGAUCAAGAAAAAGAUUCUAAUUUUGGCCAUUUUCACGGUAGAGAACCUAUAAAAAAUCUAUACGUGUAUUAAUUUUUGUAGCUUCUUUCCUCCUUCAGAAAACUUA
Saimiri boliviensis boliviensis (Bolivian squirrel monkey) is the source of this 445-nucleotide long non-coding RNA. RefSeq lists it as uncharacterized. The record is from RefSeq and is a predicted model, not a curated record. Lineage: Eukaryota; Metazoa; Chordata; Mammalia; Primates; Cebidae.